AGUGAACGCUGGCGGUAGGCCUAACACAUGCAAGUCGAACGGCAGCACAGUAAGAGCUUGCUCUUACGGGUGGCGAGUGGCGGACGGGUGAGGAAUACAUCGGAAUCUACUUUUUCGUGGGGGAUAACGUAGGGAAACUUACGCUAAUACCGCAUACGACCUACGGGUGAAAGCAGGGGAUCUUCGGACCUUGCGCGAUUGAAUGAGCCGAUGUCGGAUUAGCUAGUUGGCGGGGUAAAGGCUCACCAAGGCGACGAUCCGUAGCUGGUCUGAGAGGAUGAUCAGCCACACUGGAACUGAGACACGGUCCAGACUCCUACGGGAGGCAGCAGUGGGGAAUAUUGGACAAUGGGCGCAAGCCUGAUCCAGCCAUACCGCGUGGGUCAAGAAGGCCUUCGGGUUGUAAAGCCCUUUUGUUGGGAAAGAAAAGCAGCAGGUUAAUACCCCGCUGUUCUGACGGUACCCAAAGAAUAAGCACCGGCUAACUUCGUG
RNAcentral lists this ribosomal RNA (492 nucleotides) under uncultured bacterium. RNAcentral describes it as "partial 16S ribosomal RNA". It matches the Rfam family "Bacterial small subunit ribosomal RNA", at positions 29 to 507 of the family's 1533-position model. The record is from RNAcentral.